AUGUGUGAGGGCUGGGCAAUGUG
This 23-nucleotide non-coding RNA is filed under the name Cricetulus griseus (Chinese hamster). The record is from RNAcentral. Lineage: Eukaryota; Metazoa; Chordata; Mammalia; Rodentia; Cricetidae.